UAAACUGCUUUUAUUAAUGGAUGAAAGAAGAUGAAAAUAUGAAUUUUUCUUUUUUAUUUCCUCUGUAGGGAAACCAUCUUUCUCUGGAUUAUUGAAUGAAGGAAACAUCAGAGGAGUUCGGGCAGUUUCACCGACACACAGCUCUGGAUAAAGUGGAACAUUCCGGGUCUCAGAGCUGAAAUCGAACGGUUUUCAGCAUGAGCCGAGCCUUCAACAGGAAAAAAGUCCGUUCUCCCCGCCGUCGGCCCGGUCGCCGCGUGAACGCGCAUUCAUUAAGAGGAGAUAACGAGGCGCGGUAACGAGCCGCCGG
This 310-nucleotide long non-coding RNA is filed under the name Astyanax mexicanus (Mexican tetra). RNAcentral describes it as "lncRNA (ENSAMXG00005004755.1)". The record is from RNAcentral. Lineage: Eukaryota; Metazoa; Chordata; Actinopteri; Characiformes; Acestrorhamphidae.